This 404-nucleotide RNase P RNA is filed under the name Acidobacteriota bacterium. RNAcentral describes it as "Acidobacteria bacterium (bioreactor metagenome) RNase P RNA component class A". It matches the Rfam family "Bacterial RNase P class A". Rfam says of the family: Ribonuclease P (RNase P) is a ubiquitous endoribonuclease, found in archaea, bacteria and eukarya as well as chloroplasts and mitochondria. Its best characterised activity is the generation of mature 5'-ends of tRNAs by cleaving the 5'-leader elements of precursor-tRNAs. The record is from RNAcentral. Lineage: Bacteria; Pseudomonadati; Acidobacteriota.
CGGGCCGGACAGGCGAUCGCUCCACGGAGGCUUUUCGCCUUCGUGGGGAGGAAAGUCCGGACUUCAGCGAUGCGGCGUGCCGGAGAAAUUCCGGUCGGGGUAACCCGAAGGAAAGUGGCACAGAAAAUACACCGCCUGUCGGCCGCGAGGCCUUCCGGUAAGGGUGAAAAGGUGCGGUAAGAGCGCACCGCGCUCCCGGCAACGGGAGUGGCAGGCAAAACCCCACGCGAAGCAAGGCCAAAUAGGGGGGCGACAAGGGAUGCUCGCUCCCGCGGUCGCAAGACCGGCGCUCCCGGGUAGGCUGCUUGCGCCCGCUCGAGAGAGAGGGCCUGAGAGGAAUGAUCGCCAGCCGUGAGGCGCGAGCCGAGCGGUCACAGAAUCCGGCUUAUCGUCCGGCCCGAGUC